This 469-nucleotide ribosomal RNA is filed under the name uncultured bacterium. RNAcentral's name for it is "partial 16S ribosomal RNA". It matches the Rfam family "Bacterial small subunit ribosomal RNA", at positions 39 to 507 of the family's 1533-position model. The record is from RNAcentral.
GGGGGGGGGGGGGGGGGGGGGGUGGGGGGGGGGGGGGGGGGGGGGCGGCCCUGCUGGGGUGGGGGGGGGGGGUGGGGGACGGGUGAGUGACCCGUGAGUAACGUGCGCUGGCCUGUGUGGUACGUGCAGGACACUGGGCCUGAUACCGGUGAGGAGCUCCUGCUGCUUGGUGGGGGGUGGAACGUUUCGGUGGUGGGGGAUGGACUCGCGGCUUAUCAGCUUGUUGGUGGGGUAGUGGCUUACCAAGGCUUUGACGGGUAGCCGGCCUGAGAGGGUGACCGGCCACAUUGGGACUGAGAUACGGCCCAGACUCCUACGGGAGGCAGCAGUGGGGAAUAUUGCACAAUGGGCGGAAGCCUGAUGCAGCAACGCCGCGUGCGGGAUGACGGCCUUCGGGUUGUAAACCGCUUUCGCCUGUGACGAAGCGUGAGUGACGGUAAUGGGUAAAGAAGCACCGGCUAACUACGUG